Molecule: ribosomal RNA, 403 nt
Filed under: uncultured bacterium
Lineage: Bacteria
Description: partial 16S ribosomal RNA
Rfam family: Bacterial small subunit ribosomal RNA
Source: RNAcentral
AUUGAACGCUAGCGGGAUGCUUUACACAUGUAAGUCGAACGAGUGGCGGACGGGUGAGUAAUGUAUGGGGACUGCCCGAUAGAGGGGGAUAACUACUGGAAACGGUAGCUAAUACCGCAUACUAUCGGAUCACCCAUAUGGGAUUAGCUAGUAGGUAGGGUAAUUGGUCGCCUAGGCGACGAUCCCUAGCUGGUCUGAGAGGAUGAUAAGCCACACUGGGACGACGACAGGGCCCAGACUCCUACGGAGGCAGCAGUGGGGAAUAUUGCACAAAGGGCGCAAGCCUGAUGCAGCCAUGCCGCGUGUAUGAAGAAGGCCUUAGGGUUGUAAAGUACUUUCAGGCGGGAGGCGUUACCGACAGAAGAAGCACCGGCUAACUCCGUGCCAGCCGCCGCGGUAAUUC